RNAcentral lists this ribosomal RNA (494 nucleotides) under uncultured bacterium. Its description in RNAcentral is "partial 16S ribosomal RNA". It matches the Rfam family "Bacterial small subunit ribosomal RNA", at positions 28 to 507 of the family's 1533-position model. The record is from RNAcentral.
GACGAACGCUGGCGGCGUGCUUAACACAUGCAAGUCGAACGGUGAAGCGCCUUCCUUUUUGGUGGGUGUGGAUGAGUGGCGAACGGGUGAGUAACACGUGAGUAACCUGCCCCCUUCUUCUGGAUAACCGCAUGAAAGUGUGGCUAAUACGGGAUAUUCUGGGUCUGUCGCAUGAUGGGUCUGGGAAAGAUAUUGUUUCGGUGGGGGAUGGGCUCGCGGCCUAUCAGCUUGUUGGUGGGGGGAUGGCCUACCAAGGCGGUGACGGGUAGCCGGCCUGAGAGAGUGGACGGUCAGACUGGGACUGAGACACGGGCCAGACUCCUACGGGAGGCAGCAGUGGGGAAUAUUGCACAAUGGGCGCAAGCCUGAGGCAGCGACGCCGCGUGAGGGAUGGAGGCCUUCGGGUUGUGAACCUCUUUCGCCAGUGAAGCAGGCCUGCCUCGUUUGUGGGUGGGUUGACGGUAGCUGGAUAAGAAGCGCCGGCUAACUACGUG